CUCGGCAACGGAUAUCUCGGCUCUCGCAUCGAUGAAGAACGUAGCGAAAUGCGAUACUUGGUGUGAAUUGCAGAAUCCCGUGAACCAUCGAGUCUUUGAACGCAAGUUGCGCCCAAAGCCAUUUGGCCGAGGGCAUGUCUGCCUGGGUGUCACGC
This 155-nucleotide ribosomal RNA is filed under the name Diplusodon bahiensis. RNAcentral describes it as "5.8S ribosomal RNA". It matches the Rfam family "5.8S ribosomal RNA". Rfam says of the family: 5.8S ribosomal RNA (5.8S rRNA) is a component of the large subunit of the eukaryotic ribosome. It is transcribed by RNA polymerase I as part of the 45S precursor that also contains 18S and 28S rRNA. Functionally, it is thought that 5.8S rRNA may be involved in ribosome translocation. The record is from RNAcentral. RNAcentral also lists the same sequence under 2 other names. Lineage: Eukaryota; Viridiplantae; Streptophyta; Magnoliopsida; Myrtales; Lythraceae.